GAUGAACGCUGGCGGCGUGCCUAAUACAUGCAAGUCGAGCGAACGGACGAGAAGCUUGCUUCUCUGAUGUUAGCGGCGGACGGGUGGGUAACACGUGGAUAACCUACCUAUAAGACUGGGAUAACUUCGGGAAACCGGAGCUAAUACCGGAUAAUAUUUUGAACCGCAUGGUUCAAAAGUGAAAGACGGUCUUGCUGUCACUUAUAGAUGGAUCCGCGCUGCAUUAGCUAGUUGGUAAGGUAACGGCUUACCAAGGCAACGAUGCAUAGCCGACCUGAGAGGGUGAUAGGCCACCCUGGAACUGAGACACGGUCCCGACUCCUAAGGGAGGCAGCAGUAGGGAAUCUUACGCAAUGGGAGGAAGCCUUACGGAGCAACGCCGCGUGAGUUAUGAAGGUCUUCCGAUCGUAAAACCCUGUUAUUAGGGAAGAACAUAUGUGUAAGUAACUGUGCACAUCUUGACGGUACCUAAUCAGAAAGCCACGGCUAACUACGUG
Molecule: ribosomal RNA, 497 nt
Filed under: uncultured bacterium
Lineage: Bacteria
Description: partial 16S ribosomal RNA
Rfam family: Bacterial small subunit ribosomal RNA
Source: RNAcentral